This 257-nucleotide ribosomal RNA is filed under the name uncultured soil bacterium. RNAcentral's name for it is "partial 16S ribosomal RNA". It matches the Rfam family "Bacterial small subunit ribosomal RNA", at positions 26 to 284 of the family's 1533-position model. The record is from RNAcentral.
AGGACGAACGCUGGCGGCGUGCCUAACACAUGCAAGUCGAACGGGACCAGGGGCAACUCUGGUUCAGUGGCGGACGGGUGCGUAACACGUGAGGAACAUGACCUUCGGCGGGGGAUAGCCGGCCCAACGGCCGGGUAAUACCGCGUACGACCACAUGGGGACAUCCCUGAGUGGUGAAAGCAGCAAUGCGCCGAUGGAGUGCCUCGCGGCCUAUCAGCUAGUUGGUGAGGUAACGGCUCACCAAGGCGACGACGGGU